This 75-nucleotide transfer RNA is filed under the name Sphaerodactylus townsendi. RNAcentral describes it as "tRNA-Ala". The stretch from base 11 to 66 matches the Rfam family "tRNA", at positions 8 to 63 of the family's 71-position model. From Rfam's summary of the family: Transfer RNA (tRNA) molecules are approximately 80 nucleotides in length. Their secondary structure includes four short double-helical elements and three loops (D, anti-codon, and T loops). Lineage: Eukaryota; Metazoa; Chordata; Lepidosauria; Squamata; Sphaerodactylidae. The record is from RNAcentral.
GGAGUUGCUGUAGCUCAGUGGUAGAACAUUUGCUUGGCGUGCAGAAGGUCUCAGGUUCAAUCCUGGAUAUCUCUG